This 434-nucleotide ribosomal RNA is filed under the name uncultured Lachnospiraceae bacterium. Its description in RNAcentral is "partial 16S ribosomal RNA". It matches the Rfam family "Bacterial small subunit ribosomal RNA", at positions 341 to 792 of the family's 1533-position model. The record is from RNAcentral. Lineage: Bacteria; Bacillati; Bacillota; Clostridia; Lachnospirales; Lachnospiraceae.
ACGGGAGGCAGCAGUGGGGAAUAUUGGACAAUGGGGGAAACCCUGAUCCAGCGACGCCGCGUGAGUGAAGAAGUAUUUCGGUAUGUAAAGCUCUGUCAGCAGGGAAGAUAAUGACGGUACCUGACUAAGAAGCCCCGGCUAACUACGUGCCAGCAGCCGCGGUAGUACGUAGGGGGCAAGCGUUAUCCGGAUUUACUGGGUGUAAAGGGAGCGUAGACGGUAUGGCAAGUCUGAUGUGAAAACCCAAGGCUCAACCAUGGGACUGCAUUGGAAACUGUCAAACUAGAGUGCAGGAGGGGUAAGCGGAAUUCCUAGUGUAGCGGUGAAAUGCGUAGAUAUUAGGAGGAACACCGGUGGCGAAGGCGGCUUACUGGACUGUAACUGACGCUGAGGUUCGAAAGCGUGGGUAGCAAACAGGAUUAGAUACCCUGGUA